GGGUUGUGAGGUUAAGCGACUAAGCGUACACGGUGGAUGCCCUGGCAGUCAGAGGCGAUGAAGGACGUGCUAAUCUGCGAUAAGCGUCGGUGAGGUGAUAUGAACCGUUAUAACCGGCGAUUUCCGAAUGGGGAAACCCAGUGUGUUUCGACACACUAUCAUUAACUGAAUCCAUAGGUUAAUGAGGCGAACCGGGGGAACUGAAACAUCUAAGUACCCCGAGGAAAAGAAAUCAACCGAGAUUCCCCCAGUAGCGGCGAGCGAACGGGGAGGAGCCCAGAGCCUGAAUCAGUGUGUGUGUUAGUGGAAGCGUCUGGAAAGGCGCGCGAUACAGGGUGACAGCCCCGUACACAAAAAUGCACAUAUUGUGAGCUCGAUGAGUAGGGCGGGACACGUGGUAUCCUGUCUGAAUAUGGGGGGACCAUCCUCCAAGGCUAAAUACUCCUGACUGACCGAUAGUGAACCAGUACCGUGAGGGAAAGGCGAAAAGAACCCCGGCGAGGGGAGUGAAAAAGAACCUGAAACCGUGUACGUACAAGCAGUGGGAGCCUCUUAAUGGGGUGACUGCGUACCUUUUGUAUAAUGGGUCAGCGACUUAUAUUCUGUAGCAAGGUUAACCGAAUAGGGGAGCCGAAGGGAAACCGAGUCUUAACUGGGCGUUAAGUUGCAGGGUAUAGACCCGAAACCCGGUGAUCUAGCCAUGGGCAGGUUGAAGGUUGGGUAACACUAACUGGAGGACCGAACCGACUAAUGUUGAAAAAUUAGCGGAUGACUUGUGGCUGGGGGUGAAAGGCCAAUCAAACCGGGAGAUAGCUGGUUCUCCCCGAAAGCUAUUUAGGUAGCGCCUCGUGAAUUCAUCUCCGGGGGUAGAGCACUGUUUCGGCAAGGGGGUCAUCCCGACUUACCAACCCGAUGCAAACUGCGAAUACCGGAGAAUGUUAUCACGGGAGACACACGGCGGGUGCUAACGUCCGUCGUGAAGAGGGAAACAACCCAGACCGCCAGCUAAGGUCCCAAAGUCAUGGUUAAGUGGGAAACGAUGUGGGAAGGCCCAGACAGCCAGGAUGUUGGCUUAGAAGCAGCCAUCAUUUAAAGAAAGCGUAAUAGCUCACUGGUCGAGUCGGCCUGCGCGGAAGAUGUAACGGGGCUAAACCAUGCACCGAAGCUGCGGCAGCGACACUAUGUGUUGUUGGGUAGGGGAGCGUUCUGUAAGCCUGUGAAGGUGGCCUGUGAGGGUUGCUGGAGGUAUCAGAAGUGCGAAUGCUGACAUAAGUAACGAUAAAGCGGGUGAAAAGCCCGCUCGCCGGAAGACCAAGGGUUCCUGUCCAACGUUAAUCGGGGCAGGGUGAGUCGACCCCUAAGGCGAGGCCGAAAGGCGUAGUCGAUGGGAAACAGGUUAAUAUUCCUGUACUUGGUGUUACUGCGAAGGGGGGACGGAGAAGGCUAUGUUGGCCGGGCGACGGUUGUCCCGGUUUAAGCGUGUAGGCUGGUUUUCCAGGCAAAUCCGGAAAACCAAGGCUGAGGCGUGAUGA
Molecule: ribosomal RNA, 1532 nt
Filed under: Escherichia coli
Lineage: Bacteria; Pseudomonadati; Pseudomonadota; Gammaproteobacteria; Enterobacterales; Enterobacteriaceae
Description: partial 23S ribosomal RNA
Rfam family: Bacterial large subunit ribosomal RNA
Source: RNAcentral